AGUGAACGCUGGCGGCAGGCCUAACACAUGCAAGUCGAACGGCAGCACAGUAAGAUCUUGCUCUUACGGGUGGCGAGUGGCGGACGGGUGAGGAAUACAUCGGAAUCUACUUUUUCGUGGGGGAUAACGUAGGGACACUUACGCUAAUACCGCAUAUGAUCUACGGGUGAAAGCAAAAGAUCUUCGGACCUUGCGCGACUGAAUGAGACGAUGUCGGAUUAGCUAGUUGGCAGGGUAAAGGCCCACCAAGGCGACGAUCCGUAGCAGGUCUGAGAGGAUGAUCAGCCACACUGGAACUGAGACACGGUCCAGACUCCUACGGGAGGCAGCAGUGGGGAAUAUUGGACAAUGGGCGCAAGCCUGAUCCAGCCACGCCGCGUGGGUGAAGAAGGUCUUCGGGUUGUAAAGCCCUUUUGUUGGGAAAGAACAGCAGCAGGUGAAUACCCCGCUGUUCUGACGGUACCCAAAGAGUAAGCACCGGCUAACUUCGUG
RNAcentral lists this ribosomal RNA (492 nucleotides) under uncultured bacterium. RNAcentral's name for it is "partial 16S ribosomal RNA". It matches the Rfam family "Bacterial small subunit ribosomal RNA", at positions 29 to 507 of the family's 1533-position model. The record is from RNAcentral.